AUUAUUGAGGGGGGUUCGUUUACAUUAGGAAGUAGUUUUAUUUUAAAAAAGCAUUCUAUCUUUACGUCAUAUCCUGUUUGUCUCCCGACCCCAUUUUCUGCUAAGCUCUCUCUGCUUUAGCACGCACGUUGGAUUUGCUCGUGGCUAACAGCUGACGAUUGCAAACUACGUGUCUCCGCGUCUACGUUGAAUGUUCACCGUAGGAACGCGUGUGUGCUGGAAGCGGCUGCUUGUUGGAGAAGUCUGCUAAAGAACUUCUUAAGUUGACAUCAGCCCUUGUGUGGCAGCAUAUUUGCCCUUGGUAAGUACAAUUAAAAGUUAUUACAUACAGAUUUAUAAAUAUAGAUUUCAAUGAAGUUUAACUUGCUGAAUGCAAGUAUUUGAAAAAAAA
This is a long non-coding RNA of Oryzias melastigma (Indian medaka), 391 nucleotides long. RefSeq lists it as uncharacterized. NCBI's taxonomy places the organism in Eukaryota, Metazoa, Chordata, Actinopteri, Beloniformes, Adrianichthyidae. The transcript is spliced from 3 exons. The record is from RefSeq and is a predicted model, not a curated record.